Long non-coding RNA from Linepithema humile (Argentine ant), 436 nucleotides. RefSeq lists it as uncharacterized. The record is from RefSeq and is a predicted model, not a curated record. Lineage: Eukaryota; Metazoa; Arthropoda; Insecta; Hymenoptera; Formicidae.
CGAUUCUAGAUGCUGUUGUCUUUUGGCCGAUCACAGUGACAGACGUCUUCUUGAACUCGUAAUUUACUUGGGCAUAUACGAUUAGGCGAGGAAUUUAGCAAUAUCAAACUCGAUUUCUUCUAUGAAAAAAGAAUCCAUCGGAACUUGAUCAAUACGUAUAGUAAUUAUUGAUAAUAAAAUUUUCAAAGAAAGAGACAUUAUAUUGAUCAUAACUGCUAGAAAUUCAAUCAAAAAAAUACACGAGAAGAUGAGUUUUAAAAUAAAUUUAUUAUUCAUACUUGCUGUCUUCAGCAUGGGAUACCAAUGUAAUACAAAACCUGCAUCAAGUGAGACACAUGUUAAAAAUUGUAGCCUUCCAAAUGACCUUGGUACUUGCUUCAAGAAGGAGCCGGAACUCAAUGAAAGUUAUGAAUUGAGAUAUUGGUUUGAUUCGUCA